UGCCCUGUAGUGUAAUUGGCAACACUUGGGACUUUGGUUCCCACAUUUCAGGUUCGAGUCCUGGCAGGGCAGC
This 73-nucleotide transfer RNA is filed under the name Mycobacterium phage Indlulamithi. RNAcentral describes it as "tRNA-Gln". It matches the Rfam family "tRNA". From Rfam's summary of the family: Transfer RNA (tRNA) molecules are approximately 80 nucleotides in length. Their secondary structure includes four short double-helical elements and three loops (D, anti-codon, and T loops). The record is from RNAcentral. Lineage: Duplodnaviria; Heunggongvirae; Uroviricota; Caudoviricetes.